UAUUAUAUAUUCAUUUUAAUACUUUAACCUUGACAGGUUUAUCCUAAAGGACGGCGCGUGUAAUAUUUUGGUUCACAAUAAGACUUACUUUUACACCGGCAAAUAUACUAAUUCAAGACCAGUCCAAUUGCAACUUUAUUCCGUUGCAAAAAGGAUUGUUUCACAAUUCAGCUUUAAACCGUAUUUUGCGUUUUCAAAAUUUUACAGGGUACUUUUUUAAAUAAAAUAUUUAUUACGGGGGUAUUAUUAAGAAUAUGUAUCAGGUAAUUAUUAGUGAUCAUUAAAUCAUCUAAAAUUAGGUAUAAUACAGAAAAAAAUCAAUAUAAAUGUUUUUUAUACUGUAUUCCAUAAAAAAAUGUGUAGAAAUCGAAUAAAAUAGUUAAAAAAUGCUAGGAAUUAAACUAACAUAAACAAAGCCGCGCGCUACUGUUUAUCACCACGCUUCAUGGUGUUUAUUCAUAUAUCUAUCAGAGCAUGCGCAGUGCCGUCCCGGGCUACCCUUGAACACUCUUUACAACAAACAUUUAAAAAUAAUAAUUAAUUCGCAUUAAUAUAUCAAAAUAAUGAUGUAAAUAUUUAAAAAAGUCCUUAUUACACAUUUUUCAGAAGAAAGUAUGUUAAAAUCCAUUCAGUUGCAGUCGCAAUCAGCUAAGAUUUGAGCCCGUCGAGUCGGAACUGUUAAAUAUGCGUGAUAGCUUUUAGUCAUAUCCUAGUCUUGACCCGCAAAUGUCGCGCAGUCCUCACUAAUAGGGAAACCGUGUAACACGUCGGCCACAAGUUCGAUAACAGUUAUCUUUCAAAAAUUCUUAAGUUAAAAAAGUUUUAAAAGUUUUUCUUUUAAGGUAAAUUAAAGUUGUGUUAAACUUUUUGAGCCGAAAAUUAUUGUCUUGAACAAAAUAAACUUUCUAUAUACGCAAAUGUGUUUUAAAAUGCAGUAAAUAAGUUUUUUUUUUAAAUUUAAUCAAAUCAUAUUAGUGAACAAAGCCAAAUAUAAUUCCGGUAAUAAUUCGGAAGUUAUUAUUUUUCAAGUUGUAAAGUUCGUAGUGUGGCAACAAGUGACAAUAAUUAAUGUGUGCCGCCUCAGAGCGGGCGGUGAUCGAAAUAUUUGUUCCGUUCUUAAUUAAUUCAUAGACAGUUUUAUUCGGGUGUUAAUAAAAUUAUUUGUUGUAGAACAAAACCAGCUACUGCUGCAGUAGCUCUUAUAUUCUCCGUAUAUAAGUAAAUAAGAAAGCAAGAGAUGGCUAACCUGUGGGCCGCACUGAAGCAUUGUUUUUGCGGCGAAACGAAGGAACAGGAAACCCAAACAGCAGAUAAUGACAACACCUCUGUGUUAACCUUUAACUCUCACUGCAACUCUUUUUUAAACGCGAAUACUCACAGACAGGCACGGGGGUUUAGGUAUGCCUGCACGGUGCAAAAACCAGUUGAGAAUAAAAUGGCCACUGCAAGAGAAAGGGAACAUAUGCAAGCCAAUUUAGUACAGGCCGCCUUCGUAACGCACCACAUCUAGGGUGUACGUAGAUGCACGUAGACCGGCAUCCCCGUGACAACACCUGUGCUUGCGAUAUGAGGGGGGCACCCAUCGAGCGAGAGACGACCGUACAAUUGAGUUGGACCACGACCAGGUGUUUAUGGGCUAAGACCAAAUACAAGCUGACUGCAAUCGAUACACGGAUGGACCAGUGAAUGGACUGGAUAUAGAACAUAAGGAUAAAGGGUAUUUUCAAUAAGAGUUUUUUAUUAGAGUAAGUAUUCAGACAUUUCGGUGGCUAUUAACCAUCUUGCUUAUAAUGCUCAUAAUUUCGUAUAUUUUCCAUCAUGCUCACAAGUUAUUAUACAUAUUAUUAUGCAUGAGAAUUAAAAAAAAAACCAACACGUUUAAAAACUGUUGCUGUAAUAAGCAGUAGUAAUAAAUGUAUUAGCCUGUGAAGUUAUAAUUUAACAUUAUUUUAGUUUUGUGACCCAUAAAUCGUAAAUUAUGAAUAAGAUAUUGAAUAGGUUCGGCCUGCUGCUUGGCCUGCGUUCCUGUGGGAUAAAAAUAGUCUAUAUGUUAUUCUAGUCUAUAAUCUACCCCUUUACUAAAUAUUAUCCCAUUUCCUUCAGCGGUUUUGAUGUGUUUCAGUAACAAAAAUACACACAAACUUUCGCAUUUAUAAUAUUAGUAAGAUAAAUCUAAUAACCUAAACCUUAAAUGUUAUUUAGCUACUAGGAUUGAAAAGAAAUAUUUUAUAAAAAAAUAUAUUAUGUAUGUAUAUAAAUAUAAAACAUUUCAUCCUACUAGUAUUAAAAGUGCGAAUUUGUGUAUUUUUGUUUGUUACUUCUUCACGUCAGAAUUGCCGAAGGUAUUUAAAGAAAUCGAGAUUAAAUUUGGAACAGGGGUAGAUUAUGGUCUGGUAUAAUAUGUAGGACACUUUUUAUCUCACUAGAAGGAGGGCGAAGCCAUUGUCCGAAGCUAGUUCAAUUUAUUUUGCAAAUAUAUAAACAUUCAGAGCGGUAUGUUAAGAAAAAUACCAGGGUUUCGCAGACCACUACCUAAUUGAGAACCGCUGCUCUACCGUUACCAUUUUGUAGCAAUCAUUCAUCAUUUGAUCAGACAUUUGGGUAUUAUUGGUAAAGGUGUGUUUGUGAAUUUUAUAUCUCUUAUACUGUAACAUACAUAGACUACUAAUAUUUUAUCUAAUAUUUAUAUUACAUAUUCUGGUCACCUAACUCUUUAUAUUAUUUCGUAACAAAAACACAAAACAAUGUUUGAGUUUUUGACAAACAGACGUUUUAACUAUUAGAAGUGAGUUUAUGAAUAAAUAUUUAAUUUAAUAAUUAUUGAAAAAAAAAUACAUAUACAAAUACCUAUACAAGUAUACAAAUACCUAUAUACUUAUUUUUUGUGGUUUUAAGUAGACCGUUGGAUAAGAAGUCUAUUUUAAAGCUCACGACAGAUGGGAACCAAGUUCAGACUGUCGUAAACUAGACUUGCAGAGAUGUGUGAUAGAGUUGAGUAAACUAUAUAUUUUAUAAAGAUUUACAUAUGUAAUUACGUAGUAAUAAUUAUAUAUAUUUAUUCACAUUAUAUACCGUAUAUAUUACAUUUACAAAUAUCUAUAUAUUCCAUGAUUUUGUGGGAUGUUUGUUAUGUAGUCUAUUUCAAAGUAUACGACAUACAAGAACCUAGUUCGGACUGUCGUAAGAUAGACAUUGAAUAAUUGUAAUGAUGUCGAAUAUAGUAUUCUGAAAGUUUUAGACAAUACUAAGCGACAGGGGUUUGUGUAUAGAAGUUUGAAAAGACACAUAUAUUUUAUAAAUUUUUAUUAACCAUUUGUUUAGUAAAUAAUUCUUCUUUUUAUUAAUGAAUGAAUGAUGUAAAUAUUAUUCAAUAAAAGUUGUUGAUAAAAUUACACAAUUAUCUGUUUUAAGAAUAUACUUCUGAAAUCUUAUUAAAUGUGUAAACUUGAUGAAGACGUGUUGUACUGGAAGAUUUUUAUCAUUCACUUACUCCAAUUUAAAAAAAGACCUGUCACACAUUACAUCAUUUUCAAAUUUAAAAUUUUCUUUGAUUUUUGUAAUGAAAAAGUGGUUACUAUCGUCUGGCGCUGGGCCCCUAAUUAUGGUGUUCUCUUGUGGGCCCUUGGCCUUGGGCCUUGGGGGCCGAGAGUGGAGUUUUCCUUUUAGCCAAGUUUUAGUUUCUUACGACCCCUAAAGUGGAUUCGUGGAGACUGCUUUUAUACAUAAAAUACUUUCAAUCAAUAUGCCUCGGUGCUCACAUACCUAUGCAUACCGACAAACUGAAAACAUGUUUCUAUAAUAAUCUAAGAAAAGCAAAUAUGUUCUAUUAAAUACAUUUAAAAAUACUGUUUUCAAUCUCCUAAGAAGUUGGUUAAUAUACUAAAACUUGCUCCUUAGUUAAACAAACCCUGAAAACCACCUCAAAAUCGAGUCAGCCAAUCGCGAGGUAAUUACGGACAAACAUUCAUAUGUACUGGUCAAACUGAACCUGUUUUUGAAGUCGGUUAAAAACAUGAUCCUAAGUUUUGUAUUUAAUAGUUUGUGCGUGACUGUACCAAAACUUAUUGAACUAGGGGUCGAAAGUGGAUGGAUUAAUGGCUAUAUUUUUGUACGAAAAUCCACUCUUACCUCCUUUGGGGGGCGAGUGUGAACUACGUUAAGGGGUUAAGAGGACAUCGAUGAACACACAUUUUUUACAGUUUAAGAGCUGACAGUAACAUCAAUUGUGUGAUGUGAUAGCUCAAUAUUUUUAUAUUAAACGAUACUGCAAGUAGGACACGCAUUCAAUGAUUUUCGCUAAAGAUACAUAUUAGACAAAUUUUUUAAGUGUAGUAAAAAAUCUUCCUGUAUUAUGUUAUUGUACAAAGUUUGAGAUUCCAGUCUAUUUCAAUGUUUUGUUUAAUAAACAACAAAGUUCACAUAAAAUGGACAGUUAUUCGACAAAUGUAAAUAAAAACAAAUAUAUAUUGUAAUAUUUUUCUACUAAUAUUAUAUAAAUACAUAUAUUUUUUAAAUGAUAUACGGAAUGUUUGUAAUGUAGUCUAUUUUUGAGUACACGACAAAUAGGAAUCAAGUUCGGAUUGUCGUCGAAUAGACAUAAAAUGUAUUGUGAUGUCAAAACUAAGUAACUGAUACAAGGUAACAAGUUUUGGGUAUGUAUGCUAUAUCUUUCUCUUUUUAUAGAAACUCUUUGCUAUGUAUUGUAUAUAUUGGUAAAAUAUUCACAACCUCCCUGGUUUAAAUGAAUCUUUAAACAUAAAAACAAUAACUCAUUAUAGAAUUUUCUAAAUGGUUUUUUUGUUCAUUGAAACGGUAUAAGAUCUAAUUUAUCUUUGAUGAUAUUAGUAAUACAGUUCAAUGUGAGUUUGUUAAUAUUUUGCCAAUAAACCUGUUUAAUAAUGAUAUAUAUUCUUCUAUAAUGUAUUUGUAGGACGUGACAAAUUGGAACAAAGUUCGGAUCGUCAUCAAAAGGAUCUUCUAUUUAUAAAUAACUGCAUGUGAUGUCGUACUAAUGGACACACAUGAUGUAGUCAAAUAUUUUAUAUACAUAUAAUAUAUUAAUAUAUAUUAUAUUUUGUAUGUUUGUUGGAUGAGUAAGGUGCGUUUGUGUCUGAUCAAAUCAGUAACGCAUUACAUAAAUUCAUCGAAUUUUAAUCAUCUUUAGCUUCAAUUUUAUUGGCACGAUCCAGCUUGUAGAAAUAUACAUAUGUACGGUUAAAUAACCACAUUAUAAAAUUGUAGUUAUGUGUAAUGUAUAUGUGAAAAAAAUAACCCGACUUUACUAGGUAUUUCUAUGACUUGUAUAUAUCCACGUCCCUAUACUAAGUCACUAAUUUCAUAAUGACCCCCUCUUAAAACUAAUGACAACAAAAGGUUUACUGACUGUCUAUGUAGAACAUCAACAAUACAUAAUUCAGACAGACAUAGCUCUACUUCAGAAACCAUCACAAUAUAAUCUGAAUUUACUUUUCCUCCCCUUCAUUAUCUACAAACCAAAUUACCUAAAAUUCCAUUACCCGUUCGUCUAUGAGCUCGUGAGCAACCAGAUAUCAGAACUCAGCCAUGGCUGGACUUCCAUCAUAAAAUAUCAAAGCCCCCGUACUUUUUCAAUAUUCCAGUUGAUCAACCCUGAAAAAUACUGAUACUCUUCAAAUACCUUCGUGUCCUCAAAUCGUUGCUAAAGACUUAUUCUAAUUGUCUAGAAGCAAAUAUUUAAAACGAUAUUCUAUCUAAAUGUUCAGGACACAUAUGUAUACAUAAUAUAUAUUUUCCAGUCGGGAGUAAAAAAACUGAAUUUUGAAAUUCUAUCAAUUUAGUGUAAGUAAAAAUGUUCAAGUAGAUAUUCAAAUACUCAAUUGAUGUUCAAUAAAUUGAUGUUCAAUAAAUCGAUGUUCAAUGUUCAUUAUAAUAAGGAAUACAAGUUUUAUUAAAGUGCAAGCUGAUGGUUUAAAAACAUGACCAUAAGUGUAACUCGGUUACCUAACACAGAAUAUUUUUGACGCUCGAAUCAAAAAUAUGGCACAGGAAUACAACCUUGGACUUUAGUUCAACUUGUACUUGGUAGACCUAGUAAAUAUUCCAGAGCUUAAUGAAAUGUUUUAAUCAUGUAGUUAAAUAAUCGUCGAUAAAAUUGCUCAACACAUUAAUUGAUACCAGUAGACAUGAACAUACAUAGUUCGUUUUAACUGGAUUUAAUUAAUAUUAAAUUCCAAGUUAAUGUGUUGAAGAAUAAAUUGAAUGUGAAACUGUUUUUCUUGUACUAGCAAAAAACAAAAACGAAUGUAUGUUGUAAAUUGAUAUUUCAUUGUUAUGUGCAAACAAUUUUACCGACGAUGGUUUUAGAAUUAGAAAAAAUAUAUUAUCAUGUAUACGUAAUUAAAUGUAUAAAUAUCUGAUCUCUUUAGACAAUAAACUUUCUAAGUGUCAAUAAUGUCGUUUUAUUACCCCUACUAACACAAUAAUAAUUAAUAGGGUUGAUGACUAACUAUUACUUUACUGUCCGUCUUAUUGAUUAUUUCAAAACAUUAGACACGUAUUUUUUAUUGUCUUACGGAAACAAAUACUUUUAAAGAUAUAUCGUUUUGAAAUAUCGA
Spodoptera frugiperda (fall armyworm) is the source of this 6593-nucleotide long non-coding RNA. RefSeq lists it as uncharacterized. The transcript is spliced from 3 exons. NCBI's taxonomy places the organism in Eukaryota, Metazoa, Arthropoda, Insecta, Lepidoptera, Noctuidae. The record is from RefSeq and is a predicted model, not a curated record.